UACGUAGGGGGCGAGCGUUGUCCGGAUUUAUUGGGCGUAAAGAGCUCGUAGGCGGUUUGUCGCGUCUGCUGUGAAAACCUAAGGCUCAACCUUGGGCUUGCAGUGGGUACGGGCAAACUAGAGUGCGGUAGGGGUGACUGGAAUUCCUGGUGUAGCGGUGGAAUGCGCAGAUAUCAGGAGGAACACCGAUGGCGAAGGCAGGUCACUGGGCCGCAACUGACGCUGAGGAGCGAAAGCAUGGGGAGCGAACAGG
This 253-nucleotide ribosomal RNA is filed under the name uncultured bacterium. RNAcentral's name for it is "partial 16S ribosomal RNA". It matches the Rfam family "Bacterial small subunit ribosomal RNA", at positions 524 to 776 of the family's 1533-position model. The record is from RNAcentral.